CCUACGGGUGGCAGCAGUGGGGAAUAUUGGACAAUGGGCGAAAGCCUGAUCCAGCCAUGCCGCGUGUGUGAAGAAGGCCUUCGGGUUGUAAAGCACUUUCAGUGGGGAAGAAAGCCUUGGGGCUAAUACCCUCGAGGAAGGACAUCACCCACAGAAGAAGCACCGGCUAACUCCGUGCCAGCAGCCGCGGUAAUACGGAGGGUGCGAGCGUUAAUCGGAAUUACGGGGCGUAAAGCGCGCGUAGGCGGUCUGAUAAGCCGGUUGUGAAAGCCCCGGGCUCAACCUGGGAACGGCAUCCGGAACUGUCAGGCUAGAGUGCAGGAGAGGAAGGUAGAAUUCCCGGUGUAGCGGUGAAAUGCGUAGAGAUCGGGAGGAAUACCAGUGGCGAAGGCGGCCUUCUGGACUGACACUGACGCUGAGGUGCGAAAGCGUGGGUAGCAAACAGGAUUAGAUACCCGUGUAGUC
RNAcentral lists this ribosomal RNA (465 nucleotides) under Vreelandella stevensii. RNAcentral describes it as "partial 16S ribosomal RNA". It matches the Rfam family "Bacterial small subunit ribosomal RNA", at positions 338 to 795 of the family's 1533-position model. Lineage: Bacteria; Pseudomonadati; Pseudomonadota; Gammaproteobacteria; Oceanospirillales; Halomonadaceae. The record is from RNAcentral.